This 615-nucleotide ribosomal RNA is filed under the name uncultured bacterium. RNAcentral's name for it is "bacterial SSU rRNA". It matches the Rfam family "Bacterial small subunit ribosomal RNA", at positions 766 to 1381 of the family's 1533-position model. The record is from RNAcentral.
GAGCGAACAGGAUUAGAUACCCUGGUAGUCCACGCCGUAAACGAUGAGUGCUAGGUGUUGGGUCCUUUCCGGGAUUCAGUGCCGCAGCUAACGCAUUAAGCACUCCGCCUGGGGAGUACGACCGCAAGGUUGAAACUCAAAGGAAUUGACGGGGGCCCGCACAAGCGGUGGAGCAUGUGGUUUAAUUCGAAGCAACGCGAAGAACCUUACCAGGUCUUGACAUCCCGAUGCUAUUUCUAGAGAUAGGAAGUUACUUCGGUACAUCGGUGACAGGUGGUGCAUGGUUGUCGUCAGCUCGUGUCGUGAGAUGUUGGNUUNNNNNNCGCAACGAGCGCAACCCCUAUUGUUAGUUGCCAUCAUUCAGUUGGGCACUCUAGCGAGACUGCCGGUAAUAAACCGGAGGAAGGUGGGGAUGACGUCAAAUCAUCAUGCCCCUUAUGACCUGGGCUACACACGUGCUACAAUGGUUGGUACAACGAGUUGCGAGUCGGUGACGGCGAGCUAAUCUCUUAAAGCCAAUCUCAGUUCGGAUUGUAGGCUGCAACUCGCCUACAUGAAGUCGGAAUCGCUAGUAAUCGCGGAUCAGCACGCCGCGGUGAAUACGUUCCCGGGCCU